Molecule: ribosomal RNA, 513 nt
Filed under: uncultured bacterium
Lineage: Bacteria
Description: partial 16S ribosomal RNA
Rfam family: Bacterial small subunit ribosomal RNA
Source: RNAcentral
GACGAACGCUGGCGGCGUGCCUAAUACAUGCAAGUAGAACGCUGAAGACUUUAGCUUGCUAAAGUUGGAAGAGUUGCGAACGGGCGAGUAACGCGUAGGUAACCUGCCUACUAGCGGGGGAUAACUAUUGGAAACGAUAGCUAAUACCGCAUAACAGCAUUUAACCCAUGUUAGAUGCUUGAAAGGAGCAAUUGCUUCACUAGUAGAUUGACCUUCGUUGUAUUAGCUAGUUGGUGAGGUGACGGCUCACCAAGGCGACGAUACAUAGCCGACCUGAGAGGGUGAUCGGCCACACUGGGACUGAGACACGGCCCAGACUCCUACGGGAGGCAGCAGUAGGGAAUCUUCGGCAAUGGGGGCAACCCUGACCGAGCAACGCCGCGUGAGUGAAGAAGGUUUUCGGAUCGUAAAGCUCUGUUGUAAGAGAAGAACGUGUGUGAGAGUGGAAAGUUCACACAGUGACGGUAACUUACCAGAAAGGGACGGCUAACUACGUGCCAGCCGCCGCGGUAA